AGUGAACGCUGGCGGUAGGCCUAACACAUGCAAGUCGAACGGCAGCACAGUAAGAGCUUGCUCUUACGGGUGGCGAGUGGCGGACGGGUGAGGAAUACAUCGGAAUCUACUUUUUCGUGGGUGAUAACGUAGGGAAACUUACGCUAAUACCGCAUACGACCUACGGGUGAAAGCAGGGGAUCUUCGUACCUUGCGCGAUUUAAUUAGCCGAUGUCGGAUUAGCUAGUUGGCGGGGUAAAGUCCCACCAAGGCGACGAUCCGUAGCUGGUCUGAGAGGAUGAUCAGACAAACUGGAACUGAGACACGGUCCAGAAUACUACGGGAGGCAGCAGUGGGGAAUAUUGGACAAUGGGGGGAAGCCUGAUCCAGAAAUACCGCGUGGGUGAAGAAGGCCUUCGGGUUGUAAAGCCCUUUUGUUGGGAAAGAAAAGCAGCAGGUUAAUACCCCGCUGUUAUGACGGUACCCAAAGAAUAAGCACCGGCUAACUUCGUG
This 492-nucleotide ribosomal RNA is filed under the name uncultured bacterium. RNAcentral describes it as "partial 16S ribosomal RNA". It matches the Rfam family "Bacterial small subunit ribosomal RNA", at positions 29 to 507 of the family's 1533-position model. The record is from RNAcentral.